This 3277-nucleotide long non-coding RNA is filed under the name Capsicum annuum. RNAcentral describes it as "long non-coding RNA (CANN_LNC002448)". Lineage: Eukaryota; Viridiplantae; Streptophyta; Magnoliopsida; Solanales; Solanaceae. The record is from RNAcentral.
CAGCUGAAAAAUGUAGGCAAUUGGUCGGAGAAGGAUCAGCUUCAAGGAGCAAGAGCGAAUGAUUUACAUUCAUAAACUGCUUUGACAUGAGUUACGGAUUGUUAGGCUGUGUUCUCAAGGAACUAGUGAAGAUAUACUUACAUUCAAGCAAUCCAAGUGCACAAAGUAAGGAACGAAGCAACUAAAGGUAGCAGUCCAAGUAAACCUGUCCAAAGGACAAGUGCUUGAAGAUGCAGUGAGAUCAGCGCAGCAAGUUGGAAAUGCUGCGGCAACAAGAGCAUUUUUACAAGCAAAACUCAUAAUGGGGCCAAUGGUGUCAUCUGGAUUGGAGUUUGUUGAGACUCCAUAUGUUGGUGGCACCUUGGUGAGGAAGUUAUUAGAAGUGUUGAAACAUUGUUGGGGUCAUAUAUUGGAGAAAUUAUUGAAGCAAAAACUAGGUGGUUGGGUUUUCUCAUGGGAAGCAAGUUUGGUUGUUGGAUUGGUGGGAGGUCUAAUGCUGUAUGAUGUGGGAAAAGGGCUGCAAUUUUUGCUUCACCUCACGAGGACUAAUAGAUUAAUGGAGAAAGCAACUCACUCUUCUUUCCAUUUCUUUCUUACAGUGUUUUUUGGUUUAGUCGGCGACAUCAAGGUUGUUCUCGUGUGUUGAAGCAAUUGAGGAAUCACAAUUGAUCAUCUAAGAAUGAGAUGAGGUGAAAAGAAUAUAGUUUCGUGUUUUUAAUUUCAUAAAAUAUUAUUUCACAACCAAUGAUGUCCUAUCCCUCUUGUUAUUCGAGGAAAAUGAUUGAUAUAUUUCUUCCGUGGCAAAUGGUGGUGGCUAAAAUUUUCUUUUUCCACCACAUAGUGGAAUCUUGACUUUCACAUUUCACAACAUAGUGUUGACAGAAUUGGAAUUUUAAUGUUUUCUCAAUAAUUUCUUGUGACAUAAUACUAAAAAUGUCAUUUUACUUGAACUUCGUUGGCAUGAAUUUUAGAUGUGCACUAGUAGACACUUAAAUUUAUAUAUACAUGAAGUUUUUUGGCAUGAUAGAAGUAAGUUGUCAUAUAAGACAACAAAUUUAUCACGUAAGACGUCAUAUAAGAUUCAAAUAUUUAUAUUUAUAAUCUAUAUCUAAUCCAAUCUAAAUCUAAUCUAUCUAUCUAAAUUUAAUUAUUAAUUAAAUAUAUUAAAAGUGUGAAAGGCCUAAGAAAUGUCGUUUGAACUUCUUGUCCUUCGUUAAAAGUCUUUGUUUUCGACAAAAUCAUCUUUUCACUAUUUUUUUUAAUACUUAAGAAUUAAAAAUUAAUUAAAUAUUUUUAUGAUAAAACUUUUUCUUAUUAGAAGUCCUUAGGAUUAAUUUACCAUUAAUUUUUUUAUUAAUUUUAGAAUUCUAAAUCAACUAAAUUUGAUUUAUAAAAGAUUUGAAAAGUCUAGAAAUAAACAUAAAAGUGUUAAAAAAAUAAUAAUUAAGAAGUACUUAUUUGUUAAAAGUUUUAAGUACAUAAUAAGAAUGUAAUCAAAACAUAAAAAUGAUGAUUUAAAAUAUAUGUGUGAUUAUUAUUAUUAUAUUAAAAUGUAAAGAAUCUUUAAAAGUGAUUUAAAUUUUACACUUCAUUAAAAAUUUCUGCAAUAGAUAAAAUUAUUUAAUUCUAAAUAAUCAAAUAUUACACAUGCAAGUACAUACUAGUAUAUAUAAAAUUAAAUACUUAUCCGUAUGCACAACACCUAAAUAUGUUAUUGCAAGCCAAAUUUCUUUAAGCAUUUUCCGCUUGCACUAAAGGCAAAAUGACAUUUUGGACCCCUGUAUUAUAUCGAUUUUGUAAGUUGGACACUUCUACUUACAUGUUUGUCAUCUGGACCCUUGAACCCACUAAAAAAUAAUAUUUUAAACACUUUUUCGAUGAGUGUAACACACUCUCUCACGUCAGUUGUCAUGUCAUCUUCCACAUCUCUUCCAUGUCAUUUUUAAAUAUAAAAAAUAUUAAAUAUUAGAAUAAAUAAAUUUUAAAAAAAAACCCAACCCCACCCUUCUAUUAUUUCUCUCUCUAGCCUCCCAUUUUUUCUUUUUUUUUUGUUCUUAAUUCUCUCGUUCUCUUAUUCCUGUCUCUCUUCCAGUUUUCUUUCUUUCUUCUUAAUUGACAAUUCUCUAUUUCUUCUUCUUUUUCUUAUUAGAAAAUAUUGCGUUGGCUAAGAAUAUUUGAUUCUUCUUUUUUAACUUUACAGUAAUUUAAGGAUGAUGAUUUUUUAUGAUCCAAAAUUAUGAUUUUUGAAGAGGUAAUUAAACGGUGAUGAUUGAAAUGCAAUUGAAAUUGAAAUUUGAUUCCAGAAUCUGAUUUUUUAUGAUGAUUUUGUUAGCAAAAUUUGAUUCCAUAAUAAAAUUGGAAUGUAAUUAAAAUUUGAGGAUUUUUUAAAUUGAUUAUAUGGUGUUUCGUUUGAAUUGAUUCGGAUUUGAUUAAUUGAAAAUGAUGAUGGUUGAAAGAAAUGAUGGGUUGUUGGUUAGAAAUUUCUGAAUGGAACUGGGGGCUGAGAUAGAGGACAGGGGUGGGGUGGGGGGCCUGGACGGGGCUGGGAUGGUUUUGGGGUAUUUGUGGUGGUGGUGGCAGAUGAACGAGGAAAUUGUUGUUUUGGCUGAACGGAGAAAUUGGUGGUGGCAGGUGAACGGAGAAAUUGGUGAUUUGAGACGGUGUGAUAAUGGGUUGACGGUGGUAGACGGCGUGGUGAUGAGAAGGUGGUUGACGGCGUGGGGGAUGGAAAAGGUGGGGGAUAGGGGAAGGUGGUGGACGGGGUAAGGUGGCGUAGGAGACGGCAGGGGCGGGGAUGUGCUGGAACAAGGGAGGAGGGGUUUUUUUUUUUAAUUUAUUAUUUUUUAAAAUUAUUUAAAUAUUAUAAAAAAAUUAAUUUAAUCACGCACCCAAAAAAUCUCGUGUGAUCACGCAUUGUCCAUCUCAGCAUUUUAAUGUCACGUAUAUAAAAAAUAUUUAAAAUAUUAUUUUUUAGUGAGUUCAAAAAUUUAGAUGACAAAUAUAUAAAUUAAAGUGUCUAACUUACAAAACCAAAUCUUGAUAAAAAUAAGGCAUCACAUGCCUCGGCGUUCCCUUUAUUUAAAAAGGUUUAAAAAAACUUUGGAAUCUGACUCGUCAUCAAAUGGCUGGAUAGCGUGAAUGUGAAUAAUAGAAAAUUUAGAAACAGUCGCCAUGAGCCUUCCCAAAGUCUACCAUCGCUUCUCUUUACUCUCUCUUCACUCUCCUUCUCCCUCUCUACUUACUAAAUCCCUCUUCUUCACUUCUUCUUCUUCUCUCC